Molecule: ribosomal RNA, 251 nt
Filed under: uncultured bacterium
Lineage: Bacteria
Description: partial 16S ribosomal RNA
Rfam family: Bacterial small subunit ribosomal RNA
Source: RNAcentral
UACGUAGGGAGCAAGCGUUGUCCGGAAUUACUGGGCGUAAAGGGUGCGUAGGCGGCCUGGUAAGUCAGAUGUGAAAUACCCGUGCUUAACAUGGGGGGUGCAUCUGAUACUGUCAGGCUUGAGUGCAGGAGAGGAAAGCGGAAUUCCUAGUGUAGCGGUGAAAUGCAUAGAUAUUAGGAGGAACACCAGUGGCGAAGGCGGCUUUCUGGACUGUAACUGACGCUGAGGCACGAAAGCGUGGGGAGCAAACA